UACUGUCUGCAGAGGCGGGUGCCCCAUCUAUCCUGAUCGCCCAGUCAUUUGUGUAUAUUAUUGUUUGACAGAGUGGCAUGAGACUCCCCAUCCAAACAAACGCGAAAAUAGCCACCAUUCCGGUUGAAAGAGGAUCACUUCAAGACAGAGGCCUGCAGAUGUAUUGCAAAGCAUUUACUGGGAUCUACACAUCAGUGGCAUAUGGACCUUUGGCGUACACUUUUGAGCCACUGCAGCAGCACUACACAUGUAGAUGGCACUCCGAUAAGUGCGGCGGUUCUGCCUUUGAAAUCCCUCAAUAUGACUUUGUGCCAGCCGAGCUACGAGAUGUGCAGAGGCAAUGUUUAACUCCCUGCAGGCAAGAAAAGUUUAUUUUCCAUUUCCACUGUGUUUGUGUUUGUGUGUGUGUGUGUGUGCUCAAAUCUUGCAU
Molecule: non-coding RNA, 430 nt
Organism: Oncorhynchus mykiss (rainbow trout)
Lineage: Eukaryota; Metazoa; Chordata; Actinopteri; Salmoniformes; Salmonidae
Source: RefSeq, a predicted model, not a curated record